Molecule: small nuclear RNA, 93 nt
Filed under: Choloepus hoffmanni (Hoffmann's two-fingered sloth)
Lineage: Eukaryota; Metazoa; Chordata; Mammalia; Pilosa; Megalonychidae
Source: RNAcentral
GUGCUCACUUCAGUAGCACAUGUACUAAAAUUGCCACAACCCAUGCCCCUGAGCAAGGACGGCAUGCAAAUUCUUUAAACAUUGCAUAUUUUU